This 342-nucleotide ribosomal RNA is filed under the name uncultured bacterium. RNAcentral describes it as "bacterial SSU rRNA". It matches the Rfam family "Bacterial small subunit ribosomal RNA", at positions 29 to 363 of the family's 1533-position model. The record is from RNAcentral.
AACGAACGCUAGCGGUGUGGAUUAGGCAUGCAAGUCGCGCGCGAAAGCCUUCGGGCGAGUAAAGCGGCGAAAGGGUGAGUAACACGUAACCAACGUACCCCUCAGACUGGGAUAACCACGUGGAAACGGUGGAUAAUACCGGAUGGUCCACUGGGCAGCAUUGCCUGGCUGGUAAACGGCGGCCGCAAGGCGGUUGCUGAGGGAGCGGGUUGCGGCCUAUCAGCUUGUUGGUGAGGUAACGGCUCACCAAGGCUAUGACGGGUAACAGGUCUGAGAGGAUGAUCUGUCACACUGGGACUGAGACACUGCCCAGACUCCUACGGGAGGCUGCAGUCGAGAAUC